This 274-nucleotide ribosomal RNA is filed under the name uncultured bacterium. RNAcentral's name for it is "partial 16S ribosomal RNA". It matches the Rfam family "Bacterial small subunit ribosomal RNA", at positions 523 to 796 of the family's 1533-position model. The record is from RNAcentral.
AUACGGAGGGGGCUAGCGUUGUUCGGAAUUACUGGGCGUAAAGCGCGCGUAGGCGGAUUGAUCAGUCAGGGGUGAAAUCCCGGAGCUUAACUCCGGAACUGCCUUUGAUACUGUCAAUCUUGAGUUCGAGAGAGGUGAGUGGAAUUCCUAGUGUAGAGGUGAAAUUCGUAGAUAUUAGGAAGAACACCAGUGGCGAAGGCGGCUUACUGGCUCGAUACUGACGCUGAGGUGCGAAAGCGUGGGGAGCAAACAGGAUUAGAUACCCUAGUAGUCC